CGAUGGAGGCAAAGACCACCAGGGAGAAUAUCUGUGGACGGGGACAGAAGAGGAAGAGCAGAGGGUGGAGACAAGGGAGAGAGAAAAUGGAAUGAGGGAACAAGACAGGAAGGCAGCUUGAGAUUUCUGCCGUGGUGAAGAAGACCUUCUCUGCGUGUGUGUCACCCAAAGGUGACGCGUUACAUCAAACGCCAGGGCACGAUGCGUCUCCGUGGCCCUGCGUGCGUAAUGAUGCUCACGGACCAAUCACAGGUUCUGGCGAUGCGGGGCCCUGGAUGACAGGUCUCAGCUCAGUCCUCACAUCUCUCAGGAUUCCCGAGACAAUCCUUCAAUCGCAGGAACCAUCUUUCCACCCGUCCCUCCACCUCUCAUCCACACGGGAGCAGUCAAACUCAGGCUUCCCCAACCGGACGUU
Molecule: long non-coding RNA, 415 nt
Organism: Toxotes jaculatrix (banded archerfish)
Lineage: Eukaryota; Metazoa; Chordata; Actinopteri; Toxotidae
Exons: 4
Source: RefSeq, a predicted model, not a curated record